Felis catus (domestic cat) is the source of this 313-nucleotide long non-coding RNA. RefSeq lists it as uncharacterized. NCBI's taxonomy places the organism in Eukaryota, Metazoa, Chordata, Mammalia, Carnivora, Felidae. The record is from RefSeq and is a predicted model, not a curated record. The transcript has 3 exons.
GCAGGUUUGCUUAGAAAUUCCUUGUUGAAGAAUCGUCUUGCUUCAACAUUACUAAGAGAAACCGAGCAACGAGACGGAUUCUGUCUUCUGUAUUCAAUGCUUUCAACUAUGGCGUUCUUUAUCACCUGCAAAUAGAGGUGCCUGGCAUCAUGAUCAAUGUCUCUGGAGGACACAAGAUUUCUACUCUACAGAUAUAAUAUAUUCCCAACGUACCUGGUGCCUUGUAAUUUCUGAAGUUGAUGUUGGCCAGAACAAAGUGGAUGAUAGUUGGGCAAUCUUUCUCAACGUCAGGAUUCUUGGGUUUAAAGACAUA